GUGCUCAGUUCAGCAGCACAUAUACAAAAAUUGGGGUGAUACAGAGAAGAUUAGCAUGGUCCUGGUGCAAGAUGACACACAGAUUUGGGAAAUGUUCCAUAUUAUA
Molecule: small nuclear RNA, 106 nt
Organism: Suricata suricatta (meerkat)
Lineage: Eukaryota; Metazoa; Chordata; Mammalia; Carnivora; Herpestidae
Source: Ensembl